UAACGCGUGAGCAACCUGCCCUUCGGAGGGGGAUAGUGUCUGGAAACGGACAGUAAUACCGCAUAACGUAUUUUUACCGCAUGAUAGAAAUACCAAAACUGAGGUGCCGAAGGAUGGGCUCGCGUUGGAUUAGAUAGUUGGUGGGGUAACGGCCUACCAAGUCAACGAUCCAUAGCCGGACUGAGAGGUUGAACGGCCACAUUGGGACUGAGACACGGCCCAGACUCCUACGGGAGGCAGCAGUGGGGAAUAUUGCACAAUGGGGGAAACCCUGAUGCAGCAACGCCGCGUGAAGGAAGACGGUUUUCGGAUUGUAAACUUCUGUUCUUAGUGAAGAAAAAUGACGGUAGCUAAGGAGCAAGCCACGGCUAACUACGUGCCAGCAGCCGCGGUAAUACGUAGGUGGCAAGCGUUGUCCGGAAUUACUGGGUGUAAAGGGAGCGCAGGCGGGAAGCCAAGUCAGCUGUGAAAACUACGGGCUUAACUUGUAGACUGCAGUUGAAACUGGUUUUCUUGAGUGAAGUAGAGGUUGGCGGAAUUCCGAGUGUAGCGGUGAAAUGCGUAGAUAUUCGGAGGAACACCGGUGGCGAAGGCGGCCAACUGGGCUUUAACUGACGCUGAGGCUCGAAAGUGUGGGGGAGCAAACAGGAUUAGAUACCCUGGUAGUCCACACUGUAAACGAUGAUAACUAGGUGUGGGGGG
Molecule: ribosomal RNA, 702 nt
Filed under: uncultured bacterium
Lineage: Bacteria
Description: bacterial SSU rRNA
Rfam family: Bacterial small subunit ribosomal RNA
Source: RNAcentral